GGGGACCUAGCUCAGUCGGUAGAGCAUACGGCUCAUAUCCGUAGUGUCAUAGGUUCAAUCCCUAUGGUCCCUA
This is a non-coding RNA of Treponema porcinum, 73 nucleotides long. The record is from Rfam. Lineage: Bacteria; Pseudomonadati; Spirochaetota; Spirochaetia; Treponematales; Treponemataceae.